ACKGCUCAGUAACACGUGGCUAACCUGCCCUUGGGACGGGAUCACCCCCGGGAAACUGGGGCUAAUCCCCGAUAGGUGAAGAACUCUGGAAUGAGUCUUCGCCCAAAAGGCGUCGGAUCAUGCUUUCGGCGCCGCCCAAGGAUGGGGCCGCGACCGAUCAGGUUGUUGGUGAGGUGACGGCCCACCAAGCCUAUAGCCGGUGCGGGCCGUGAGAGCGGGAGCCCGGAGAUGGGCACUGAGACACGAAUCCAGGCCCUACGGGGCGCAGCAGGCGCGAAAACUUUACAAUGCGAGAAAUCGUGAUAAGGGAACCCCGAGUGCCCGUAAAUUCGGGCUGUCCGCCAGUGUAAAAAGCUGGUGAAGAAAGGGCCGGGCAAGACCGGUGCCAGCCGCCGCGGUAAUACCGGCGGCUCGAGUGGUGGCCACUAUUACUGGGCUUAAAGCGUUCGUAGCUGGGUCGUUAAGUCUCUUGGGAAAUCUAUCGGCUUAACCGAUAGGCGUCCGAGGGAUACUGGCGAUCUAGGGACCGGGAGAGGUGAGGGGUACUUCAGGGGUAGGAGUGAAAUCCUGUAAUCCUUGGGGGACCACCUGUGGCGUAGGCGCCUCACCAGAACGGCUCCGACAGUGAGGGACGAAAGCUGGGGGAGCAAACCGGAUUAGAUACCCGGGUAGUCCCAGCCGUAAACGAUGCGCGUUAGGUGUAUCGAUGACCACGAGUCAUCGAGGUGCCGAAGGGAAACCGUGAAACGCGCCGCCUGGGAGGUACGGUCGCAAGGCUGAAACUUAAAGGAAUUGGCGGGGGAGCAC
This 807-nucleotide ribosomal RNA is filed under the name uncultured euryarchaeote. RNAcentral's name for it is "bacterial SSU rRNA". It matches the Rfam family "Archaeal small subunit ribosomal RNA", at positions 85 to 879 of the family's 1478-position model. Lineage: Archaea; Methanobacteriati; Methanobacteriota. The record is from RNAcentral.